AAACGAUAGCUAAUACCGCAUAAGAACAUUUACUGCAUGGUAGAUGUUUAAAAGGUGCAAAUGCAUCACUACCAGAUGGACCUGCGUUGUAUUAGCUAGUAGGUGAGGUAACGGCUCACCUAGGCGACGAUACAUAGCCGACCUGAGAGGGUGAUCGGCCACACUGGGACUGAGACACGGCCCAGACUCCUACGGGAGGCAGCAGUAGGGAAUCUUCGGCAAUGGGGGGAACCCUGACCGAGCAACGCCGCGUGAGUGAAGAAGGUUUUCGGAUCGUAAAGCUCUGUGGUUAAGGAAGAACGAGUGUGAG
RNAcentral lists this ribosomal RNA (310 nucleotides) under Streptococcus intermedius. Its description in RNAcentral is "bacterial SSU rRNA". It matches the Rfam family "Bacterial small subunit ribosomal RNA", at positions 154 to 459 of the family's 1533-position model. The record is from RNAcentral. Lineage: Bacteria; Bacillati; Bacillota; Bacilli; Lactobacillales; Streptococcaceae.